GAUGAACGCUGGCGGCGUGCCUAAUACAUGCAAGUCGAGCGAACAGACGAGGAGCUUGCUCCUUUGACGUUAGCGGCGGACGGGUGAGUAACACGUGGGUAACCUACCUAUAAGACUGGGAUAACUUCGGGAAACCGGAGCUAAUACCGGAUAAUAUUUCGAACCGCAUGGUUCGAUAGUGAAAGAUGGCCCUGCUAUCACUUAUAGAUGGACCUGCGCCGUAUUAGCUAGUUGGUAAGGUAACGGCUUACCAAGGCAACGAUACGUAGCCGACCUGAGAGGGUGAUCGGCCACACUGGAACUGAGACACGGUCCAGACUCCUACGGGAGGCAGCAGUAGGGAAUCUUCCGCAAUGGGCGAAAGCCUGACGGAGCAACGCCGCGUGAGUGAUGAAGGUCUUCGGAUCGUAAAACUCUGUUAUUAGGGAAGAACAAACGUGUAAGUAACUGUGCACGUCUUGACGGUACCUAAUCAGAAAGCCACGGCUAACUACGUGCCAGCAGCCGCGGUAAUACGUAGGUGGCAAGCGUUAUCCGGAAUUAUUGGGCGUAAAGCGCGCGUAGGCGGUUUUUUAAGUCUGAUGUGAAAGCCCACGGCUCAACCGUGGAGGGUCAUUGGAAACUGGAAAACUUGAGUGCAGAAGAGGAAAGUGGAAUUCCAUGUGUAGCGGUGAAAUGCGCAGAGAUAUGGAGGAACACCAGUGGCGAAGGCGACUUUCUGGUCUGUAACUGACGCUGAUGUGCGAAAGCGUGGGGAUCAAACAGGAUUAGAUACCCUGGUAGUCCACGCCGUAAACGAUGAGUGCUAAGUGUUAGGGGGUUUCCGCCCCUUAGUGCUGCAGCUAACGCAUUAAGCACUCCGCCUGGGGAGUACGACCGCAAGGUUGAAACUCAAAGGAAUUGACGGGGACCCGCACAAGCGGUGGAGCAUGUGGCUUAAUUCGAAGCAACGCGAAGAACCUUACCAAAUCUUGACAUCCUUUGACCCUUCUAGAGAUAGAAGUUUCCCCUUCGGGGGACAAAGUGACAGGUGGUGCAUGGUUGUCGUCAGCUCGUGUCGUGAGAUGUUGGGUUAAGUCCCGCAACGAGCGCAACCCUUAAGCUUAGUUGCCAUCAUUAAGUUGGGCACUCUAAGUUGACUGCCGGUGACAAACCGGAGGAAGGUAGGGAUGACGUCAAAUCAUCAUGCCCCUUAUGAUUUGGGCUACACACGUGCUACAAUGGACAAUACAAAGGGCAGCGAAACCGCGAGGUCAAGCAAAUCCCAUAAAGUUGUUCUCAGUUCGGAUUGUAGUCUGCAACUCGACUACAUGAAGCUGGAAUCGCUAGUAAUCGUAGAUCAGCAUGCUACGGUGAAUACGUUCCCGGGUCU
RNAcentral lists this ribosomal RNA (1372 nucleotides) under uncultured bacterium. RNAcentral describes it as "bacterial SSU rRNA". It matches the Rfam family "Bacterial small subunit ribosomal RNA", at positions 28 to 1381 of the family's 1533-position model. The record is from RNAcentral.